Molecule: transfer RNA, 67 nt
Filed under: marine eukaryotic metagenome
Rfam family: tRNA
About the family: Transfer RNA (tRNA) molecules are approximately 80 nucleotides in length. Their secondary structure includes four short double-helical elements and three loops (D, anti-codon, and T loops).
Source: RNAcentral
CGGGUAUAGCUUAAUGGUAAAGCCCUAGCCUUCCAAGCUAGUUAUGAGAGUUCGAUUCUCUCUACCC